Molecule: ribosomal RNA, 497 nt
Filed under: uncultured bacterium
Lineage: Bacteria
Description: partial 16S ribosomal RNA
Rfam family: Bacterial small subunit ribosomal RNA
Source: RNAcentral
GAUGAACGCUGGCGGCGUGCCUAAUACAUGCAAGUCGAGCGAACGGACGAGAAGCUUGCUUUUCUGAUGUUAGCGGCGGACGGGUGAGUAACACGUGGAUAACCUACCUAUAAGACUGGGAUAACUUCGGGAAACCGGAGCUAAUACCGGAUAAUAUUUUGAACCGCAUGGUUCAAAAGUGAAAGACGGUCUUGCUGUCACUUAUAGAUGGAUCCGCGCUGCAUUAGCUAGUUGGUAAGGUAACGGCUUACCAAGGCAACGAUGCAUAGCCGACCUGAGAGGGAGUCGGGCACCAUUGAGCGGAAACCGCGUCCAGCCCCCUGCGGGGGGGAGGCAGAGGGGACUUUUCCGAAUGGGCCGAAGCCUGGACGGACCACCGCGGGGGGGUUAAUAAUGUUUUUCGUAUCUAAAACCUUUUUUAUGGGGAAAAAACAUAUUGUUAAUUAAUUGUGCACUUCUGCGGGUACCCUAACAGAAAGCCCACGGCAAACCCCGUC